RNAcentral lists this ribosomal RNA (497 nucleotides) under uncultured bacterium. Its description in RNAcentral is "partial 16S ribosomal RNA". It matches the Rfam family "Bacterial small subunit ribosomal RNA", at positions 28 to 507 of the family's 1533-position model. The record is from RNAcentral.
GAUGAACGCUGGCGGCGUGCCUAAUACAUGCAAGUCGAGCGAACAGACGAGGAGCUUGCUCCUCUGACGUUAGCGGCGGACGGGUGAGUAACACGUGGAUAACCUACCUAUAAGACUGGGAUAACUUCGGGAAACCGGAGCUAAUACCGGAUAAUAUAUUUAACCGCAUGGUUCAAUAGUGAAAGACGGAUUUGCUGUACCUUAUAGAUGGAUCCGCGCCGCAUUAGCUAUUUGGUAAGGUAACGGCUUACCAAGGCAACGAUGCGUAGCCGACCUGAGAGGGUGAUCGGCCACACUGGAACUGAGACACGGUCCAGACUCCUACGGGAGGCAGCAGUAGGGAAUCUUCCGCAAUGGGCGAAAGCCUGACGGAGCAACGCCGCGUGAGUGAUGAAGGUCUUCGGAUCGUAAAACUCUGUUAUUAGGGAAGAACAAAUGUGUAAGUAACUAUGCACGUCUUGACGGUACCUAAUCAGAAAGCCACGGCUAACUACGUG